RNAcentral lists this ribosomal RNA (943 nucleotides) under uncultured bacterium. Its description in RNAcentral is "bacterial SSU rRNA". It matches the Rfam family "Bacterial small subunit ribosomal RNA", at positions 532 to 1482 of the family's 1533-position model. The record is from RNAcentral.
GGAGGGUCGGUAUCGGAUUACUGGGCGUAAGCGUGCGCAGGCGGUUUUGUAAGUCUGACGUGAAAGCCCCGGGCUCAACCUGGGAAUUGCGUUGGAGACUGCAAGGCUUGAAUCUGGCAGAGGGGGGUAGAAUUCCACGUGUAGCAGUGAAAUGCGUAGAGAUGUGGAGGAACACCGAUGGCGAAGGCAGCCCCCUGGGUCAAGAUUGACGCUCAUGCACGAAAGCGUGGGGAGCAAACAGGAUUAGAUACCCUGGUAGUCCACGCCCUAAACGAUGUCUACUAGUUGUCGGGUCUUAAUUGACUUGGUAACGCAGCUAACGCGUGAAGUAGACCGCCUGGGGAGUACGGUCGCAAGAUUAAAACUCAAAGGAAUUGACGGGGACCCGCACAAGCGGUGGAUGAUGUGGAUUAAUUCGAUGCAACGCGAAAAACCUUACCUACCCUUGACAUGUCAGGAACCUCCGAGAGAUUGGAGGGUGCCCGAAAGGGAACCUGAACACAGGUGCUGCAUGGCUGUCGUCAGCUCGUGUCGUGAGAUGUUGGGUUAAGUCCCGCAACGAGCGCAACCCUUGUCAUUAGUUGCUACGAAAGGGCACUCUAAUGAGACUGCCGGUGACAAACCGGAGGAAGGUGGGGAUGACGUCAAGUCCUCAUGGCCCUUAUGGGUAGGGCUUCACACGUCAUACAAUGGUACAUACAGAGGGCCGCCAACCCGCGAGGGGGAGCUAAUCCCAGAAAGUGUAUCGUAGUCCGGAUCGCAGUCUGCAACUCGACUGCGUGAAGUUGGAAUCGCUAGUAAUCGCGGAUCAGCAUGCCGCGGUGAAUACGUUCCCCGGGUCUUGUACACACCGCCCGUCACACCAUGGGAGCGGGUUUUACCAGAAGUAGGUAGCUUAACCGUAAGGAGGGCGCUUACCACGGUAGGAUUCGUGACUGGGGUG